AAAAAAGCCUCAAAUAUCGGGACUGUCCCUAUAAAAUAAGGACAUCUGGUCACCCUACCCCCUAGGCAAUUUAUUCCAGUGCUUAGCAGCAUCCCAGAGGGGCUAGCAGAGACAAGCGAGAUCAUACAGAGUUAAUCAUCAACUCUGUCCCUUCAUCAUUCCCCCUUCUCCUCCUCACUGACCCCUUCUGCCAUUACCUCUCAACAACCAAUGGGAGAAUGAGUGGGAGGGCUCAGGAAAUAAAAGGGAGGAGGGGCUGAAAUGGUGCAGUGCCAGCAAUCUCUGGGUCCUACAGAUGAACCCUGCAUGGAGCAGGCCCAAUUCAUUUAACUCGCUGCAGCUGCUUGGGAUCAGGGGGGCUGAAGGCGGUUUGAUCUUGGUGGAAGGGAUUGCGAUUUGUUACUUGCCAACCACCAGUAUGCUCGGUGUGACGUUGUGCAGUCUAUAUGGUUUUAUAAAAACUUGAUAAUAAGUCAAUAUAAUGUAACUGAGAUAGUUUUAGAGAAAAUACGGUAAUAAGUGAAUGUAAGUAACUGGGAUAUGCUU
RNAcentral lists this long non-coding RNA (546 nucleotides) under Chrysemys picta bellii (western painted turtle). RNAcentral's name for it is "lncRNA (ENSCPBG00000013061.1)". Lineage: Eukaryota; Metazoa; Chordata; Testudines; Emydidae. The record is from RNAcentral.